Molecule: unclassified non-coding RNA, 240 nt
Filed under: Zea mays
Lineage: Eukaryota; Viridiplantae; Streptophyta; Magnoliopsida; Poales; Poaceae
Description: misc RNA Zm00001eb354970
Source: RNAcentral
CUGUUUCCGCGGGUCGGCGUCUCCCUCGAAUCGGCAAAACACCAGGGGAACGCUCCCCCGAGUCGCGACCCCGGGCAAGUUUCCCCACGGGCGGGGCGACGAAAUCACCGCUCUGCUCCGACGUCCAGCUCUACUCGCGAGCAGGACAUCACCGCGCGUCCACCAUCUCUGGCUUGCUGUCCUCCGCGCGUCAUCUCCAUCCCUGGCUUGAGAUAUGGGUUCUUGGGAAGAGCUAGCUAG